GGGCUGCAGUGGGGAAUUUUGGACAAUGGGGGCAACCCUGAUCCAGCCAUUCCGCGUGAGUGAAGAAGGCCUUCGGGUUGUAAAGCUCUUUCAGCUGGAAAGAAACGGUGAGCUCUAACAUAGCUUGCUAAUGACGGUACCAGCAGAAGAAGCACCGGCUAACUACGUGCCAGCAGCCGCGGUAAUACGUAGGGUGCGAGCGUUAAUCGGAAUUACUGGGCGUAAAGCGUGCGCAGGCGGAUUGUUAAGCAAGAUGUGAAAUCCCCGGGCUUAACCUGGGAACUGCAUUUGUGACUGCAAGGCUAGAGUGUGGCAGAGGGGGGUAGAAUUCCACGUGUAGCAGUGAAAUGCGUAGAGAUGUGGAGGAACACCGAUGGCGAAGGCAGCCCCCUGGGAUAACACUGACGCUCAUGUACGAAAGCGUGGGUAGCAAACAGGAUUAGAUACCCUGGUAGUC
RNAcentral lists this ribosomal RNA (457 nucleotides) under uncultured Thiobacillus sp. RNAcentral's name for it is "bacterial SSU rRNA". It matches the Rfam family "Bacterial small subunit ribosomal RNA", at positions 346 to 795 of the family's 1533-position model. The record is from RNAcentral. Lineage: Bacteria; Pseudomonadati; Pseudomonadota; Betaproteobacteria; Nitrosomonadales; Thiobacillaceae.